CCCUUAGAUGUCCUGGGCUGCACGCGCGCUACACUGAUGCGCUCAACGAGUUUUUGAUCUUGCCUGAAAUGGCUUGGUAAUCUUUUUAAAACGCAUCGUGAUGGGGAUAGAUUAUUGCAAUUAUUAAUCUUCAACGAGGAAUGCCUAGUAAGCGCAAGUCAUCAGCUUGCGUUGAUUACGUCCCUGCCCUUUGUACACACCGCCCGUCGCUCCUACCGAUUGAAUGGUCCGGUGAAGCGUUCGGACCGUGGCCUUUGGACGGUUCGCCGUCUGUUGGCUGCGGGAAGUUCGUUAAACCUUAUCAUUUAGAGGAAGGAGAAGUCGUAACA
Molecule: ribosomal RNA, 329 nt
Filed under: uncultured eukaryote
Lineage: Eukaryota
Description: partial 18S ribosomal RNA
Rfam family: Eukaryotic small subunit ribosomal RNA
Source: RNAcentral